Actinia tenebrosa (Australian red waratah sea anemone) is the source of this 803-nucleotide long non-coding RNA. NCBI's taxonomy places the organism in Eukaryota, Metazoa, Cnidaria, Anthozoa, Actiniaria, Actiniidae. The record is from RefSeq and is a predicted model, not a curated record.
AAAUAACAUCUGUUCCUCUCGAACAGGUUUUAAUUGCCGCUCUUUAUUUUGCUCCACGGGCUUCUGUUAUUACCCUUGGAAAAAAAAUUAUCACUGCUUACCCGGAAACAAAGUAAUUGAAUUCAAAUGACUUAUUAUAGUCUGUCGCUUGUCAUUAAGGCAAUUUCAAAGCGUCUAAUUAUCAAUGACUUGUCAAUCACUUAUCAAGAGAUGAUGGCAUAAAAAGGCGGUCAAUGAAUAACGCUUGUUCAGAUUGUCCAAACGUCCACUGAAGCAUCUUCGAACGUACUCGGCGACCAAAAAGCUAAACCAAAUCAAAACAAGCUCAAAAUGUCACGGAUUGCUAUCCUGUUGUUCGUUGCCUGUCUUGUGGUCGCUGGAGUUUCUGCAAAAUCAACUGCUCACUUUAAGAAGAAUGCAUUAGCUGACCUUUUAAAAGAGCGAAGAGCCAACUUCAAGAGAGAUCCAGCCGGCAGCACGUGUGUCAACAUUCAAGAUAACCACUUCUGCGUUCAGUUGGCUUCACAGGGCGCAUGUGUAGCCAUACCGCAAAUGGCAUCCCAAUGCGCUAGCGCUUGUGGUCAAUGUUAAUCACGUUAAGCCUACUAAUUAAAGAAACAUAUACUAUUAUCAGAUACAUCGAUGACUAUUCAGUAGAAGUAUGCUCAGCCGUUGUCGAUAAUAUUUUCAGUCUUAAUUACAAAUCAUCCUGUAAUAUACACCGAACUUGUACACCCAUAUUAAACAUAUAAAUAAUAUACUAUCAGACGAACGAGGACGAGAAAUAAACAAAUUGCAAACUA